UUGUGACACCAUUCACAACGGACCGUCGGGCACGUACCUGCCCGUGAGGGGAUAGAUCA
This is a non-coding RNA of Arthrobacter rhombi, 59 nucleotides long. The record is from Rfam. Lineage: Bacteria; Bacillati; Actinomycetota; Actinomycetes; Micrococcales; Micrococcaceae.